Molecule: unclassified non-coding RNA, 259 nt
Filed under: Ascomycota sp.
Lineage: Eukaryota; Fungi; Ascomycota
Description: partial contains small subunit ribosomal RNA, internal transcribed spacer 1, and 5.8S ribosomal RNA
Rfam family: Eukaryotic small subunit ribosomal RNA (bases 1-47)
Source: RNAcentral
AAAGUCGUAACAAGGUUUCCGUAGGUGAACCUGCGGAAGGAUCAUUACCUGGCCUUGGGCCGCUCGCGGGGGCUCGUCGCUUGCGACGGUGUUCCCGAGGGUGCUUAGCCCUUGAUUAUCACCUUGAUUAUGCGCACCUUUGUUGUUCCCUCGGCAGUUCGCUGCCGUGAGGGACCCGUAAACUCUUUUGCAUUAGCAUCAAACAUCUGAAAACAAAUUUAAUUAUUUACAACUUUCAACAAUGGAUCUCUUGGUUCUG